UAGUUAUGAGCUGCAGUUGUCUAACAGAGGGAUCCAGCUAACCACACCUAUGUAGGAACACAGUUCUUUAUAAUCCUCCCAUUAAGCACACAUACCACCAAACAAUUAUGCUUCUGUAAAUGAGUUGUUUAAUAUGAUCUAAUUAAUAAAUAAACUAUAAUCAUACUAACAAAUAGCACUAUUACCACUAAUACUAUUGAUACUAGUAGUAAACAACAUUAGCAAACUUCAUAUGACACUAUCUUAAGGCCAUAAAAAGUCACUCCCUGCUCUCCGACUAUUCUCUACUCACCCCCACCACAAAGUGGCCAUCCCCUCACACCACAGGGCCUGCACUCCUUUCACCCAGCUAUGAGGGAUGUAAGUUCUCUGAAUGCUUACCGGUAUGAUUUAUCUAAGGCUAGGAGUGCCCAGAUUCCCAUUUCCACCUGUGCCAGACUGCUGAGGAACUGAGACUGCUCUGUCACUGCUGAGCAGGUGGCCACAGGGCAUCAGACAGCCACCCCACGGCAUGGAGCAGCCAGGCCUUGUCUAGACAAAGAAACAGGAGUACAGAGGUUGAGCUGACUUGUGGAUAUUUACCUAAACUAGGAAAAGGAAGCAAGAGAGCUGGUUUCAAGUAUCAUUUCUGAGUGGCUAGAAAAUGCUUAUAUGAUAUGCGUAAUGCAUUUUUUUGUUUGUUUGUUUGUUUCUGCUUCUAGAGAAACACUGGUAGAGGCCAUGGUCUCUUUUAAGCUGGCAUAAGCUUAUGUUUGAGUUGAAGACAGACUUUGAAAGACUUUGAAGAAUGUAUUGAUGUUUUCUAUCAUAUGUAUCUCAACAUGUCAUUAGAUAGAUUGCUCUUGCUUUAGAAAUAUUUAUUUUUUAUGGUUUUAAUUGGUAUUGAUGGGUAUUUAAUUGGCAUGAAUGGAUUAUGUUCAGUACUAUUAUUUAAAGUAAGAUGAAUUAAUUGUUCAUAGUUUGUUCAAGGUCAUAAAUCUCAUUGCAAAGUUACACUAGAAACUAAAUGUUUAACUUGCACUACAAUUAAAACUGUAUUUGAGGAAUAUGUAUAUUAAAUAUGAAGCAAUUAACACAUAAUAGAUGAUCAUAGAAUGGCUUGGUUUCGAAGGGACCUUAAAAAGAGUUCCAACCCCCUGCCAUGGGCAGGGACACCUCC
This 1159-nucleotide long non-coding RNA is filed under the name Anser cygnoides (Swan goose). RNAcentral's name for it is "lncRNA (ENSACDG00005007015.1)". The record is from RNAcentral. Lineage: Eukaryota; Metazoa; Chordata; Aves; Anseriformes; Anatidae.